GGUCGAUUAACUCAGUGGGAGAGUGCCACCUUGACAUGGUGGAAGCCGUUAGUUCAAUCCUAACAUCGACCA
This 72-nucleotide transfer RNA is filed under the name Treponema sp. RNAcentral's name for it is "tRNA-Val". It matches the Rfam family "tRNA". From Rfam's summary of the family: Transfer RNA (tRNA) molecules are approximately 80 nucleotides in length. Their secondary structure includes four short double-helical elements and three loops (D, anti-codon, and T loops). The record is from RNAcentral. Lineage: Bacteria; Pseudomonadati; Spirochaetota; Spirochaetia; Treponematales; Treponemataceae.